Molecule: long non-coding RNA, 1303 nt
Filed under: Marmota monax (woodchuck)
Lineage: Eukaryota; Metazoa; Chordata; Mammalia; Rodentia; Sciuridae
Source: RNAcentral
UAAACACUAAGCCACACCCCCAGUCCAUUUUAUUUUGAGACAGUGUCUCACUAAGGCUGAGGGUCUUGCUAGGAUGCUGAGGCUGGUCUCAAACUUGCAGUCCUCCUGCCUCAGCUUCCUGAGCCACUGAGAUUACAGGCAUACAAUACCGUGUCUAGGUAGGACCACCUAAUUUGUUAAGGCAAAAUGUCAGGUGUAAAGUUGUGAUUUAGCAGGUAUGUAUCAUUUUAAAAGAGAAAAUGAAAAACUAAACAGAAAUUUUUACAACAUCAACUUUGACUGUCAUGAAUAUUAUAAACAAAAUUUUAGAAGACCGAUUAUGUGUGCAUUCCCCAUCCUUCCACAAUUGAGUUCAUGCACUUUCACUGUUUAAAUUUUAUUUGACAUAAGUGAGAAGCUAAGUAAGUAAAAGCAGCUUUAAAAAGAUCUUCAACCAGCAUUAUUGUAUUAGAGUUGCAGACAACCAACUCCGGCUCAUGAGCUUGCCUUCAGAUUUAAUUCCAGAUGUCCUUUCUCUUGCACAUGUGAAUAAAUAGGAAAAUGAUUUCCGUUAGCUAGAUCUCUGGCUUAAGCAGAAAUGCAAUCAUCAUGGUUCCUAAGUGUUGUGUGUACACUCUCUAACUCAAUUUUCACAACAUUAUUUAGACACUCUGACUGCUUAAGCCUGAUAGCAAGCCUCCCCGCCCGAACCAAUUAACCUAACCCUAAGAUUUAGUUUUACCCAGUUGUCCUUGAAUCCUCCCUUGUUCUCCUAUUUGAAUUGGUUUGAAUUCUUUCCCAGAAAAUGUUUGUAAUCUAAAAAUUGUCUUAAUCUCUUUAGUCCAAUUUUUUCUGCUCUUUAAUUUCCCAACAGACCAAAGUGGAUUUCCAAACUUUUCCGCAUAAGAUAUGGAACCCUACUUUUCAAGUACAAAUUUCUUUUUUCGUGUAUUGCCUGUGGAAAACCAGCAGUCUAAAAACCAGCAGUAUUGACCAGACCACAAUAAAGAGAUUCUCUUCCUUGUAUUCUCUUGGGGUUUCUGGGUGUACUUCUCAGUGGGAUCCAUGAGGGAAAGAAAAGACAAAUUAUUCUUUAUCUGUCAAGUGGACGCCCAUUGUGCAUGUUAAGUCUUGGAAAAUAGAAAUCAGUCAAGAGCUAUAUAGUCAACUGAGCACUUGGAUGCCAACUUUUAUGGGGACUGGGAUGGGGUUUACAUAAAUAAAUGAAGCCUUAGAAAACCUAAAAGAUGGUAAAGUUAGAAAAUUGAUUACCAACCUCAACUUUAAAUGGGAUCAUAAAGGUAAGGCAUGGUGGUGAGUGGGG